CACCAGAUGAAACUAGAUACAAGCGAGCGGCGGACGGGUGAGUAACACGUGGGUAACCUGCCCAAGAGACUGGGAUAACACCUGGAAACAGAUGCUAAUACCGGAUAACAACACUAGACGCAUGUCUAGAGUUUAAAAGAUGGUUCUGCUAUCACUCUUGGAUGGACCUGCGGUGCAUUAGCUAGUUGGUAAGGUAACGGCUUACCAAGGCAAUGAUGCAUAGCCGAGUUGAGAGACUGAUCGGCCACAUUGGGACUGAGACACGGCCCAAACUCCUACGGGAGGCAGCAGUAGGGAAUCUUCCACAAUGGACGCAAGUCUGAUGGAGCAACGCCGCGUGAGUGAAGAAGGGUUUCGGCUCGUAAAGCUCUGUUGGUAGUGAAGAAAGAUAGAGGUAGUAACUGGCCUUUAUUUGACGGUAAUUACUUAGAAAGUCACGGCUAACUACGUGCCAGCAGCCGCGGUAAUACGUAGGUGGCAAGCGUUGUCCGGAUUUAUUGGGCGUAAAGCGAGUGCAGGCGGUUCAAUAAGUCUGAUGUGAAAGCCUUCGGCUCAACCGGAGAAUUGCAUCAGAAACUGUUGAACUUGAGUGCAGAAGAGGAGAGUGGAACUCCAUGUGUAGCGGUGGAAUGCGUAGAUAUAUGGAAGAACACCAGUGGCGAAGGCGGCUC
This 671-nucleotide ribosomal RNA is filed under the name uncultured Bacilli bacterium. RNAcentral's name for it is "bacterial SSU rRNA". It matches the Rfam family "Bacterial small subunit ribosomal RNA", at positions 78 to 727 of the family's 1533-position model. The record is from RNAcentral. Lineage: Bacteria; Bacillati; Bacillota; Bacilli.